RNAcentral lists this ribosomal RNA (454 nucleotides) under uncultured bacterium. Its description in RNAcentral is "partial 16S ribosomal RNA". It matches the Rfam family "Bacterial small subunit ribosomal RNA", at positions 28 to 507 of the family's 1533-position model. The record is from RNAcentral.
GAUGAACGCUGACAGAAUGCUUAACACAUGCAAGUCUACUUGAACUUCGGUUUGGGUGGCGGACGGGUGAGUAACGCGUAAAGAACUUGCCUCACAGUUAGGGACAACAUUUGGAAACGAAUGCUAAUACCUGAUAUUAUGAUUUUAGGGCAUCCUAGGAUUAUGAAAGCUAUAUGUGCUGUGAGAGAGCUUUGCGUCCCAUUAGCUAGUUGGAGAGGUAACGGCUCACCAAGGCGAUGAUGGGUAGCCGGCCUGAGAGGGUGAACGGCCACAAGGGGACUGAGACACGGCCCUUACUCCUACGGGAGGCAGCAGUGGGGAAUAUUGGACAAUGGACCAAAAGUCUGAUCCAGCAAUUCUGUGUGCACGAUGACGUUUUUCGGAAUGUAAAGUGCUUUCAGUUGAGAAGAAAAAAAUGACGGUACCAACAGAAGAAGUGACUGCUAAAUACGUG